UUUGAGGAGAGACAUUUGUUCAAGACACUUUUUUUCUCCUCUCACUGACAAUACGUAAGGCAGAAAGUUGGUGUCUACGUUGCUGCAUGGCUGCAGAAUAGAUUGUUUCGAGAAGGUGAACUCUGGAAAGGGUACAACUAGGAAAGGAGAAAGCAUGUUACGGCACCAGGAAAUUAUUAUAGGAGUGAUACCUUGAACUAUUUUGGAAAGAUCUGGGAAAAGAAAUUAAGGUCUCCAAGGAGGAACUGGAGAAUCAAUGAGUGACUGGCCUGGUCACCCUGAGCAGCAAAACACUGAAGUGGGACUACAAAAAAGGAAGUUGGCACAGGGAUAUAUGGAAACUGUUGACUCCGAGGCUCCUCAGCCACAUGUUUAGUGAUGGGCCCAGAGCUGUUGUUGCUCAGCAAGACCAGCAUUUUGGAAGAAGAUGUGAGCACAAAGCUGAGAAGAUCUGGGGAGAGCAAAGGCACACUGGAACCCCUGGUUGGUUACAUCAUGGCCGUCUCUCAUUGCUUCUCACUAUAAUGGCCUCCAGAGAGUGAUAGUUGCUCUUUUGCUUCUGUAAAUUCCUCUUUUGAAAUAUUCUAACCUAGAACCAUAAAGACCAGGGAGGUUGUGGAAUGUCAAUUUGAUCUAAACAAACUGAUGAAGCACAAACCACUCUGCUACAUUUUGAGCUCAUUGGAACUGAACUUGCUUAGGGCCUGGUAUUGCCCUUUGUGUAUUUUCUGACAGAGAAGUAGACAAUCACAUAACAACAAGUGUGGGGAACAGUCUCAUAAAAUAGCUAGGCAUUGUGGCAUUAUUUCAAAUGAGAGACAAUAUACUGUAUGACUGAUUUGCUCAUAGGUAGAAUUAUUUCAUUGAAGGAGUCAAAAGUUUCAAAACAAGCCUAAUAAUAAUACAAAAAGGGAUAAGAAAGAUACAGAAUAAAAAGAAAAGUAUAAACAUAAGCGAAAUAUUAAACUAAAAAAUACAAUUGUUGAAUCGAAGAACAUGUUUGUUGGAAUAAAGUGUGGAAAGGAUGUAUCUGAAGGAUAAAUGUGUGUAUUAGGAGGUAAAUGGAAAUGAAGCCAUGUAAACAGCAUGUUUGUUGCAUCAGCACUAUAAUAUGUUCUAAUAUAAUGGGGAAAGUGUAGAGAAAUGUGUAUCUCAGACUUCAUAUUUCUUUUUUUAAUUGUACAUUAUUAAGGGAUACAGAGUGAAAUUUCAUUAUCUCUAUACAAUGUAUGAUGAUCAAAUCAGGGUAAUUAACAUAUCCAUCACAUCAAACAUUUCUCAUUUCUUUGUGUUGUGAACAUUUGAAAUAUUCUCUUUUAGCUUUUUGAAAAUAUACAAUAAAUUAUAGUUAACCAUAUUCACCCUA
Homo sapiens (human) is the source of this 1366-nucleotide long non-coding RNA. Lineage: Eukaryota; Metazoa; Chordata; Mammalia; Primates; Hominidae. The record is from Ensembl.